Stegostoma tigrinum is the source of this 1830-nucleotide long non-coding RNA. RefSeq lists it as uncharacterized. The record is from RefSeq and is a predicted model, not a curated record. Lineage: Eukaryota; Metazoa; Chordata; Chondrichthyes; Orectolobiformes; Stegostomatidae. The transcript is spliced from 2 exons.
UGAGGGUUGGUGCAGAUUCGAUGGGCCGAAUGGCCUUUUCCUGCACUAUAGGGAUUCUAGCAUUCUAAAUAAAAUGCUUUGACAUCUCUUAGCCUUGUUUUCCCCUCAGUGUGCCAGUCUCACCGUCAAACUGAGUAGUAGCACCACAUUUAACAAAAGCGUCGUCUCUCCCUCCAUCACCAUGACCACCCACCGUGCGUCUCCCCGCCAUCUAAACUGAGAAAAACGGGGUAAAAGGGUAAUUCUGUGUUUGAGUGAUUCAGCAUUGAAAGAGUUAAUAGCACCGGAUCAGCCCGAAAAGCCGCUCGAGGCAGUCGGCAUUUUCAGAAUGGCGUUCAUGUGGCUUUAAGGAAUGAAAUGACUCGGGUGAAAGAAGACACGCACAGAAGCAGUCCACCCUCUGUUGUUUAUCCUUAAACUAAGACCCAUUUUCUUCACUGUUUCCUUCGCUUCCCAAACCCCGACCCUCUGGGUUCAGAACUGAGCACAAUCUGAGCCGCGUAAUGUAACCAGCGGAUAAAAGUCGUAAAUUAUAGAACUGCUUUUACGGCAUGUGUUUCCCUUUGCAACAGAAAAAAAAAUCCCCGCGAAGAUCGCGGUUUCGGGGUGCUUUCAAUUUAGCUAUAGAAUAUUUCUUUACAAAAGAAGGGGCAAGGAUUCAGAAAUGUUCGCCAAAGCGGCGUGUUAAAGCCACCGGGAGACCGGCAAGCAGGGCCCGGAGUAUAACGUCGGUGAAUUAAGCGAGACACGACAAGAAAAUUCGUGCGAAAAGAUCUUCAAGAGGGAUAAAACAAACUGCCUUACCAGACAUUCUAGGAUUUCUAAUUGUCAGCUUGCUUCAGGAGAGAUGCUUUGAAUGGCCCCAGCAAUGAAUCUUUCUCUUCAGAUUUGUUGAUAAGAGUGCAAUAUUCUUAAAAUUAAGGCAAUGUGCUGGUUUCAGCACUGAAAUUUGAACAAUACACAAUCACAAUUAUUGCACUAUACCUUGGGAUAUAACUUAGAGUUUUGCAGCACUCAUGCCGACCUUUUUAAAACCUCUACAAUCCAAUGAUUUGACAAUGAAUGAUUGCGCGAUACUUUCAAUUUGAAUAUUCAAAGCCCAGACAAAAAGAGUGCUCUCUUUUUGAAACACUGUGCUUUUCCAUCUAUUUAAGACUCCAAUGGAAUGAAAUACAAUGUAAAGUAUGGAACUUUAUGCAUGAUUGUGCACAUUUUUGUGAUUUUGAGAAUCUUUGGCUGGUGGGGCUAGAGAGAAUCAAACAUGCCCAUAAUUUUUAUCCUGCCCACUCAUUUUUACCCCAGAGCCCUCCCAACUCCACAUUCACAUUUGCCAGCGAUGCACUACAGGCCUGGGUGCACUUUAUAUCGAUGUUUUAUCCUGGUAAGUGGCAUUUAUCCACGAUUUGGUACCAAACAUGGCAGAUUGUGGGCGUGGCAUAGAGUAGUCCUUUAAUUGAGCAUGAAGUGAGAAUAAAAACAGCAAACGGUUGAUCUCCAACUACAUUCUACAUCUGUAGCAGUCAUACAAAACUCUGGGAUUUAAGAAUUGUUUGUCACGAAACGGAGGGAGUGAAGAUUUCCUUACAGUAAUGAUCCGGUGAUAUUUGAAUAUCGCCUGCCCGUUUGAGGCCAUCUUUUGGGAUUUUAUUUCAUUCUGAUUUUCUGGCGGUUUAACUAAAUCGCAAGCGACCGAGGCCUUUCGAGCGCAUCCCAGUGCAUCAGACCUUCGCCGUUUAGACACGAGGAGCGGGAUUCCCCUGUCGUAGUGUUUUGUUCAUUGUUUUUAAUUUUGUUAUGGUGCAUAAUUAAUAAACAAUCCUGUUUGUUAAA